Molecule: ribosomal RNA, 301 nt
Filed under: uncultured bacterium
Lineage: Bacteria
Description: partial 16S ribosomal RNA
Rfam family: Bacterial small subunit ribosomal RNA
Source: RNAcentral
CAGCCGCCGCGGGAAUACGUAGGUCCCGAGCGUUGUCCGGAAUUACUGGGUGUAAAGGGAGCGUAGACGGUUAAACAAGUCUGAAGUGAAAUGCCGGGGCUCAACCCCGGAGCUGCUUUGGGAACUGUAGAACUGGGGUGUCGGAGGGGUAAGCGGAAUUCCCAGUGUAGCGGUGAAAUGCGUAGAUAUUGGGAGGAACACCGGCGGCGAAGGCGGCUUACUGGACGACAACUGACGUUGAGGCUCGAAGGCGUGGGUAGCAAACAGGAUUAGAUACCCGCGUAGUCCCUGUCUCUUAUAC